GUAGGGAAUAUUGGGCAAUGGUCGGAAGACUGACCCAGCCAUGCCGCGUGCAGGAAGACGGCCCUCUGGGUUGUAAACUGCUUUUAUCUGGGAAGAAAAAGGCCAUGCGUGGCAAAUUGCCGGUACCAGAUGAAUAAGCACCGGCUAACUCCGUGUCAGCAGCCGCGGUAAUACGGAGGGUGCAAGCGUUGUCCGGAUUUAUUGGGUUUAAAGGGUGCGUAGGCGGCUGAUUAAGUCAGCGGUGAAAGACUCCGGCUUAACCGGAGCAGUGCCGUUGAUACUGGUUAGCUUGAGUGUUGGAGGGGUACAUGGAAUUGAUGGUGUAGCGGUGAAAUGCAUAGAUACCAUCAGGAACACCGAUAGCGAAGGCAUUGUACUGGCCAACAACUGACGCUGAUGCACGAAAGUGUGGGGAUCGAACAGGAUUAGAAACCCGGGUAGUCC
This 444-nucleotide ribosomal RNA is filed under the name uncultured bacterium. Its description in RNAcentral is "partial 16S ribosomal RNA". It matches the Rfam family "Bacterial small subunit ribosomal RNA", at positions 354 to 796 of the family's 1533-position model. The record is from RNAcentral.